CCCCGCCUCCUUCCUCUCCCUCUCCCCCUCAGUUUUCUCCACAAAUUAUAGUAUCAUCAUCUAACAGUUUGCAGGAACAGCAAGGAGGCGAUGUUGCAGUAAUUCUUCGAUCAAUUGGUGGAGGAAGCAACCCCAUAGCUGCUCUCAAUGUGGAGCCCGGCACCACCACCCCAGAAUCCUCCUCUAAUAACAACAGUGACCCCAAUCAUGAUCAGGUUCCAUUUCUAUAUAUAUAUAUAUAUAGAGAGAGAGAGAGAGAAAGAGGCUGUUUAUUUGGUUUGUGAUUGAUGUUUCUAUGGGAUUUUUGUUUCAGAAACCUGGAUGGAGCAAUUUUUGUCAUUUAUAGGCCCUGGUUUCCUUGUUUCAUUAGCUUAUCUUCAUCCUGGAAACUAUAAGCCAUUGCCACUCUUUUCUCUACUUUGAUUUUAAUGUUUUCUUAUUUGAUCAUAAUCUGAUUGACGUCAUGUCACAGUGGAAACUGAUUUACAA
Gossypium arboreum is the source of this 489-nucleotide long non-coding RNA. RefSeq lists it as uncharacterized. The record is from RefSeq and is a predicted model, not a curated record. The transcript has 2 exons. Lineage: Eukaryota; Viridiplantae; Streptophyta; Magnoliopsida; Malvales; Malvaceae.